Long non-coding RNA from Girardinichthys multiradiatus, 1880 nucleotides. RefSeq lists it as uncharacterized. Lineage: Eukaryota; Metazoa; Chordata; Actinopteri; Cyprinodontiformes; Goodeidae. The record is from RefSeq and is a predicted model, not a curated record. The transcript is spliced from 3 exons.
ACUAACUAAUAAAUAAAAAACAAAACUAAUAAAUACUCAUUUGUAAGUCAGGGUGUUGGGAAUUGGGAGUGUCUUUCCUGUGCUUGUCCACCAGAGGUCCUCCUGGAGCCACUGCUGACUCUUCUACAGGUGUUCCAGAUCUUUGGCUGAUUGUGUAUACCUGGGAGGAGUAUUUAGGAGCCUGCCACCAGUCCUUCGUUGCCUGAGUGUUGUUGCCCAAGUGGUAAUCACCAGUCAGAGAAACUUUGUCAGUCUGACUUGAGCCUGCGCUAACCUUGUUUGUUUUUCCCUGCUUCCUGCUAGAAACCUGUGAGGUGUGGGCUAUUACCUUCGUACCUGGACUCGGACAUCCUGCACCCUCUACUACUGUUUGUGAUUUUGGACUAUUCAUCUCAAGACUGUGGUUCGGUUCCUAACCUUCCUAACUCCAGCCUCUGUGAGAACUCUGACCUCGUCUGGACUGUAUUAUUGGACAAGCAUUCUGGAUCGCCUAACUCCCAAGCCCAGUGGUACUAUUCCCCUGUGUAUCUCUGCUCUGUGAUCAAAGUAAGCUAACACCUUGGACUCUAUGGUUAUUACUUCUUUGUGAUCCGAACUAAUUAAUACUUAUCUCUUCAGUGGACCCGAAGAACCUGCCAACCAUUGUUUCCGGUGGAACUCAACUUUGUAGUUGUAAAUAAACCUUUGAACCUUGUCUGGUCUCCUGAGUGAGUUUUGCAUGUGGGUCAAACAAUGACAGAACACUCAGGCCAACAAGACCCAGCAGAUUCACUCAGGAUUCAACUAGCUGAACAGCAUCAGUUAAUCCAGUCGCAGGACUCCAAGCUCCGAUCGUUACAUGACCAGCUUUCUGUUACCAAUCAAUGUUUGGAACAAAUGGCAGGACAAAUGCAAAGUUUUCUUCACAGUCUGCAAUCUGGUGCUGGUACUACCUCCGCUCCGCCUAGUGGCGCUAUAGCUUCUCCGGCUCCUCACUCCGUAGCCUUACGUGACGUCACAAACCCAAACCCGGAAAAAGUCUCUGGCGAUGUGGAUUGGGGAGGUUUUCUACUCCAAUGUUACUUAAUGUUUAAUCGCUCUCCCCACUCCUUUCCUAUUGAUGAUGCAAGGAUAUCAUACAUUUGGCUUUACUAACUGGUAAAGCACUAAGUUGGGCAGAAGCACGAUUUCAAAAUCCUACCUGCUUUGAUUGCACCUACAAAGAAUUUAUUGAUGAAUUCCGUCUAACCUUUUCUACUGUUUCUGAUCGUCCUAGUUUAUCCCGCCGUCUCCUGAGUCUCAAACGGGCUAAGAUCUGUUUCUGAGUUUUCAAUUGAGUUUCGCACUCUGCAGCUGCCAUUGGCUGGAACCCGAGCGCUUUAAAGUCUGCGGUUUUUCAAGCAUUAAACAAGACGUUAAAGGAUUAGCCACUCUAGAUGAACUGGAGGCACUCAAUGAUUUCAUUGCUUUGGCUACCCGUAUAAACAACCGUCUUAGAGAAAAGAAGCGCUCUCGUCCUGUUGCUGGAAAAAUGGAGAAUCACACAAUUCUCAGACCUGCUCACCCCCAGCAGUGUUGCCAGAAACCUGUGAGGUGUGGGCUAUUACCUUCGUACCUGGACUCGGACAUCCUGCACCCUCUACUACUGUUUGUGAUUUUGGACUAUUCAUCUCAAGACUGUGGUUCGGUUCCUAACCUUCCUAACUGCAGCCUCUGUGAGAACUCUGACCUGCUCUGGACUGUAUUAUUGGACAAGCAUUCUGGAUCGCCUAACUCCCAAGCCCAGUGGUAUGAUUCCCCUGUGUAUCUCUGCUCUGUGAUCAAAUGGACCCGAAGAACCUGCCAACCAUUGUUUCCGGUGGAACUCAACUUUGUAGUUGUAAAUAAACCUUUGAACCUUG